UACGGGGGGGGCAAGCGUUGUUCGGAAUUACUGGGCGUAAAGGGCUCGUAGGCGGCCAACUAAGUCAGACGUGAAAUCCCUCGGCUUAACCGGGGAACUGCGUCUGAUACUGGAUGGCUUGAGUUUGGGAGAGGGAUGCGGAAUUCCAGGUGUAGCGGUGAAAUGCGUAGAUAUUCGGAGGAACACCAGUGGCGAAGGCGGCUCACUGGUCCAUUACUGACGCUGAGGUGCGAAAGCGUGGGGAGCAAACAGG
RNAcentral lists this ribosomal RNA (253 nucleotides) under uncultured bacterium. Its description in RNAcentral is "partial 16S ribosomal RNA". It matches the Rfam family "Bacterial small subunit ribosomal RNA", at positions 524 to 776 of the family's 1533-position model. The record is from RNAcentral.